CCUACGGGUGGCAGCAGUGAGGAAUAUUGGUCAAUGGACGCAAGCCUGAACCAGCCAAGCCGCGUGCGGGAAGACGGUUCUAUGUGUUGUAAACUGCUUUUGUCCGGGAAUAAAGGCGGGUACGUGUCUCCGGUUGAGGGUAUCUUAAGACAAAGGAUCGGCUCACUCCGUGCCAGCAGCCGCGGUAAUACGGAGGAUGCGAGCGUUAUCCGGAUUUAUUGGGUUUAAAGGGUGCGUAGGCGGGUUGAUAAGUUCGAGGUGAAAGUCCGGGGGUCAACCCCGGCCGUGCCGUGGAUACUGUCGGGCUAGAGUAUAGGAGCGGUAGGCGGAAUGCAUGGUGUAGCGGUGAAAUGCUUAGAUAUCACACAGAACACCGAUUGCGAAGGCAGCUUACUAAACUAACACUGACGCUGAGGCACGAAAGCGUGGGUAUCAAACAGGAUUAGAUACCCCAGUAGUC
This 460-nucleotide ribosomal RNA is filed under the name uncultured bacterium. RNAcentral describes it as "partial 16S ribosomal RNA". It matches the Rfam family "Bacterial small subunit ribosomal RNA", at positions 338 to 795 of the family's 1533-position model. The record is from RNAcentral.